This 93-nucleotide ribosomal RNA is filed under the name Microbispora cellulosiformans. Its description in RNAcentral is "Microbispora sp. Gxj-6 partial 16S ribosomal RNA". It matches the Rfam family "Bacterial small subunit ribosomal RNA", at positions 1 to 95 of the family's 1533-position model. Lineage: Bacteria; Bacillati; Actinomycetota; Actinomycetes; Streptosporangiales; Streptosporangiaceae. The record is from RNAcentral.
UUGUUUGGAGAGUUUGAUCCUGGCUCAGGACGAACGCUGGCGGCGUGCUUAACACAUGCAAGUCGAGCGGAAAGGCCCUUCGGGGUACUCGAG